RNAcentral lists this ribosomal RNA (1543 nucleotides) under Chlamydiales bacterium. Its description in RNAcentral is "bacterial SSU rRNA". It matches the Rfam family "Bacterial small subunit ribosomal RNA". Lineage: Bacteria; Pseudomonadati; Chlamydiota; Chlamydiia; Chlamydiales. The record is from RNAcentral.
GCUGAGAAUUUGAUCUUGGUUCAGAUUGAACGCUGACGGCGUGGAUGAGGCAUGCAAGUCGCACGAAGCAGUUUACUGCUUAGUGGCGGAAGGGUUAGUAAUACAUAGAUAAUCCACCUUUUACUUGGGAAUAACGACUGGAAACGGUCGCUAAUACCGAAUGUGGUGAUCCUAGGCAUCUAGGUUUCAUUAAAGCGGGGGACCUUCGGGCCUCGCGGUAAAAGAGGAGUCUAUGGGAUAUCAGCUUGUUGGUGAGGUAAAGGCUCACCAAGGCUAAGACGUCUAGGCGGAUUGAGAGGUUGACCGCCAACACUGGGACUGAGACACUGCCCAGACUCCUACGGGAGGCUGCAGUCGAGAAUCAUUCGCAAUGGGCGAAAGCCUGACGAUGCGACGCCGUGUGUGUGAUGAAGGCCUUCGGGUUGUAAAGCACUUUCGCCUGGGAAUAAGAGAAGUCGGCUAAUAUCCGACUAAUUUGAAGGUACCAAGUAAAGAAGCACCGGCUAACUCCGUGCCAGCAGCUGCGGUAAUACGGAGGGUGCAAGCGUUAAUCGGAUUUAUUGGGCGUAAAGAGCACGUAGGUGGGAAGGUAAGUUAGAUGUGAAAAUUCGAAGCUCAACUUCGAGCCCGCAUCUAAUACUGCCUUUCUUGAGGAUGGAAGGAGAAAGGGGAAUUCCAAGUGUAGCGGUGGAAUGCGUAGAUAUUUGGAAGAACACCAGUGGCGAAGGCGCCUUUCUAUUUUACUCCUGACACUGAGGUGCGAAAGCAAGGGGAGCAAACAGGAUUAGAUACCCUGGUAGUCCUUGCCGUAAACGAUGUAUACUUGAUGUAGUUGGUCUCAACCCCAACUGUGUCGUAGCUAACGCGAUAAGUAUACCGCCUGAGGAGUACGCUCGCAAGGGUGAAACUCAAAAGAAUUGACGGGGGCCCGCACAAGCAGUGGAGCAUGUGGUUUAAUUCGAUGCAACGCGAAGAACCUUACCCAGACUUGACAUGUACCGGACAGUGGCAGAGAUGUCAUCUUCCGAAAGGACUGGUACACAGGUGCUGCAUGGCUGUCGUCAGCUCGUGCCGUGAGGUGUUGGGUUAAGUCCCGCAACGAGCGCAACCCUUAUCAUUAGUUGCCAGCAUUUCGGAUGGGAACUCUAAUGAGACUGCCUGGGUUAACCAGGAGGAAGGUGAGGAUGACGUCAAGUCAGCAUGGCCCUUAUGUCUGGGGCGACACACGUGCUACAAUGGCAGGUACAGAAGGCAGCAAUACCGUAAGGUGGAGCAAAUCCCAAAAACCUGUCCCAGUUCGGAUUGUAGUCUGCAACUCGACUACAUGAAGUUGGAAUUGCUAGUAAUGGCGCGUCAGCCAUAGCGCCGUGAAUACGUUCCCGGGCCUUGUACACACCGCCCGUCACAUCAUGGAAGUUGGUUUUGCCCGAAGCCGUCGACUCAACCGCAAGGAGAGAGGCGUCGAAGGUGAGGCUGAUGACUGGGAUGAAGUCGUAACAAGGUAGCCCUAUCGGAAGGUGGGGCUGGAUCACCUCCUUUUUAA